AUGGAGGUUGCGACGGCGACGGAGGCGUCGGCGCCGGCGGCGAGCGGCGGGGCGAGCAGGCGGGGCCACCCGUUCCCGUGGCUCGACGUGGCCAUCUCGGAGCCCUACUACUUCCUCCACCUCAUCGCCUUCUUCUCCUACUUCGCGGCCCGCACCACGGCGCCCGCGGCCGAGGACGACCCCGAGCUCCACAGCCGCCUCAUCCGACGGGAGAUCCAGGCGGUGCUCGUGUUCCUGGUGCUCUUCACAGUGAAGAUUGUGAAGGAGGAACACUGGGAAACAUUCAUCGCUGAUUCAUUGCUCUAUGCAAAGGGCCUCUUGUUGGUUGUUACUUUUGUUAUCGAUUAUUGGUUGACCGUUGGCUACUUACUGGGAUUUAUUGUUAUAUAUGCUAUGGCUCAACAGCCACCUUAUGAUGGCCUAGGUCAUUUAAAUCAUUUGACCCCGUUGCAACUGGAAAGCCUGCUAACUGAAGAGCCAACAACACGAUUUUGGCUGGUUGAGUUCCGGACUUCCUUUUUAACACCAUGUAUACAAGCAAGCAGUGUCAUGCCUGAACUCUCUAACAUAUACUCCAACAAGAACAUUUCUUUUGGAUUAGUUGAUCUUGGGCAUUUUCCAAAUGCUGCAGCGAGGUUUGGAAUAUCCAUGUGGGAUCAUCUUCCCACUUAUAUACUGUUUGACAAGGCGACCGAAGUUGCUCGGCUCCCAGAAAUUGGAAACGGAACAAAAGUAUUCGUGCCAAAAGUUACCAAGAAGCUUCUCUGCCAGCACUUUGAUCUUGACAGGCGACUGAUUGAAUUCCUGUCUACCUAG
This 816-nucleotide ribosomal RNA is filed under the name Triticum aestivum (bread wheat). RNAcentral's name for it is "partial small subunit ribosomal RNA". Lineage: Eukaryota; Viridiplantae; Streptophyta; Magnoliopsida; Poales; Poaceae. The record is from RNAcentral.